AAUUGUUCGCAAUGGGCGCAAGCCUGACGACGCAACGCCGCGUGGAGGAUGAAGAUCUUCGGGUCGUAAACUCCUUUCGAUCGAGACGAAUGGCCUUCGGGUUAACAGCCUGGAGGAAUGACGGUACCGAGAGAAGAAGCCCCGGCUAACUCCGUGCCAGCAGCCGCGGUAAUACGGGGGGGGCAAGCGUUGUUCGGAAUUACUGGGCGUAAAGGGCUCGUAGGCGGCCAACUAAGUCAUACGUGAAAUCCCUCAGCUUAACUGGGGAACUGCGUGUGAUACUGGAUGGCUUGGAUUUGGGAGAGGGAUGCGGAAUUCCAGGUGUAGCGGUGAAAUGCGUAGAUAUCUGGAGGAACACCGGUGGCGAAGGCGGCAUCCUGGACCGACACUGACGCUGAUGCGCGAAAGCUAGGGGAGCAAAC
RNAcentral lists this ribosomal RNA (422 nucleotides) under uncultured bacterium. Its description in RNAcentral is "bacterial SSU rRNA". It matches the Rfam family "Bacterial small subunit ribosomal RNA", at positions 360 to 773 of the family's 1533-position model. The record is from RNAcentral.